Long non-coding RNA from Cavia porcellus (domestic guinea pig), 2778 nucleotides. RefSeq lists it as uncharacterized. The record is from RefSeq and is a predicted model, not a curated record. The transcript has 2 exons. Lineage: Eukaryota; Metazoa; Chordata; Mammalia; Rodentia; Caviidae.
UCUGGAAAAAAAAUGUUUAUUUAAUGAAUCAACUGUAGUACCCUAUCUGACAGCAAAAAGCACCGUGAGGAUUUCCAAGGAGCUCAUUUCCCAUGGGGUAAUUUGCCUUGAUCUGGGGAUGCUGAGUUCUUCCCCAGUUCUUUCAGUAAGACUACAGAAGCCAACUGUAGGGCUGCAGUUAUUUAGCAGACGCAGGAAAUUUUGAAAAAAUAACUUUGUAAUAAAGUAUUUAAGAGCUUAUAGUUUUUAAAAUUAAGUACCAUUUAUUAAAUGCCUAGCAUGUCACAAGCAUUGAACAUACUUUAUCUACAUUCAGUCUUUAAACAGCUGGGCGGUUAUACUUUACAGAUGAGGAUGCUGGUGUCCCAUAGCUAACAUGUGAUUGAACCUGACUCAGAGCCACGUCGAGAUCUCUCUCCCAUGGUUCCUCUGGCCACAGUGUUACAUAGAUAACACAUAUAGUUACACAUACUACAAGGUGGAGAAGUAGAACCAGUUGGGUAAUAGGGAUUUCAAAGAGAAGCUCAGGUACAGCUAAGAGGAAGUUAAGGACAGAUCCAUGGAGAGCAGGGGUGUUUCAAUCCCAAUCUGAAAUACGGGCAGGAUUUCUAUAGGCAAGAAGCCUCAGUCACUGAUCCAUCACCCAGUCUCCCCUCAUGUGCCCUUGAUACAUAUCUCCCUGGCCAUGCUGAGGCUCUUGCUACCAGGAAAACUUCUCACUGUACUGUGCCUCUAGGUUUCUCACUCAAAGCACAGUACUCUUGCAACUGCCUUGUUUACCUAUGUGGUCAAUACUGUCUCAUGUUCUCAGGACUAUAAAAUCCCUAUGCUGGUAAGGAGCUCUGUGUGUAACAGAGCACUUAACCACCUAAGAGCCACAUUUUUCUGUACCAACAAUGGUGAAGGUCCUCUGAGGACCAGGUCUCUAUAUGAGACAUUUCCCUCAGAAAAAGCUUCAGAGCUGAAAAAGCACAGAGAUAUGUUAACAAGUUUUGCAACAUGGGCAGAAGUGAAUAAGGUGAGGGAACCAUGUUUUUUUCCCAGACACUGAUACUCAAGUUUGAUGAGGGUUAGCCCCAUGAGUGACGAGCUUGGUGUCAAUCUGGAAAGCAGCUGGUAUAAAGGCCUGAACUCUUCCAGUGAUGUAGUCAUGUGCAGAGUGAGGGCUCUCUGAGGAAGACACAGGACCCCUCGUCCUAAAGCCCCCUCUGCUGUCUAUAUUCCCACCAGCAUUCCUGGAAUGAGCAUGACUGUCCAGUCCUUGCUAGGGAAGUGGUAAGGGCUGGGGAAAGGCCACUAACAGAGAAGCCCAGCUUAACUUACUGGGGAUGCAAUCAACAUACUUCCUGUCCUUGUGAAGCAGGAGUGGUGCUGUCACACUGGAAAAGUCACACACUCAUGUUCUGAUGACUUCUGAACUUCCAAGAGGCUCCACUGAGGUGGAAAUUGGCCCUCCUGCUACACACAGGACUCCAGUAGUAGAUACGUGGGAAAGCAACACAUUCACCCUUGCAGGGUGAAUAUCGGGCCUAAAGGCAGCCAAAACCUGCUUCCUGUGUCUCGCUGGCUAGAAUCUCAUGAGGCAGAGUGAAUGAUUAGCACUUUUCACCCCCAAUAUUGGUUAGCUAAUAUUUUAUUGAUCACCUGCUAUGUGCCAUAUGAACUAUGUCUAACUAGUACUGUUAUCCCAUUUUACAGAUAAGGAGACAAACUUGAAUAACCUCUCCUGGGUCACGUAACUGUGAGAUAGCAUGACUUGAUUUAGGCCAUUUCCAGAGCCCAUUCUACUGUUUCAUACCUGCCUCCCUUCUCUUAAUGCCAGUAUCUACUCAGAGGAUGACUUCUGUCCAGUAUUGAUGAGGUCCUUUGUGUAGCAUGCAGCCUGCACAGCUCUUCCUGGUGGCCUGUGUAGUAUAAAGUAGUAGAGCCUGUGGCUUUAGUUUACAUGGAGAAAGAUGCUGAAAUGUCUAAAUCAGGAUAAACUCCAUCUUCCUAUUACAUGAUCAACUUGCACAGUAUACUGGAAAGUACCUGAAUAUGAAAUCAUGAAUGUGAAUGGUUAUUGAAAUGUCACAGUAGUUUCUCUUCAUGGAUGGUGAUUUUUACAUCUCAUAUCUGUGCAGGGACUUCUGAGACAGCCCAACCACUUCUUCUGGGUCCCCAGCUGGCUGAGCUGUUCACUUCAUUGUGGUAGCUGAUGGAGUUCAAAGCCACUCCCAUUAGAGCAGCAAGGAGACCAAGCCCUACCUCCAGCAAGGCACAUCACUGCUACCUUAGUGGGAACGACUCCUGUGCCCAAGGAAACAGUCGCAGCUGGAACUGGUCACCUUGUCCCUGAAACCUUUGGAGGACAGAGAGGACAGACAUUCAGCCAGCAGAGGACAGCAGAGACCACAGAGGAAAAGAUGUGAUGGUCGCUGUUCCCUAAGACUAUAAACUGCAGUGACUAGCCGGGAACCAAGUGGCAUCAGGAUCUUUGUGCACUUGAAGAAAUAGACCCACCCAGGAGCUAUACACUGUGUCCCCAGCCCCAAAUUUGUAUGGAGGUUCUGACUGCCCAUGUGAUGAUAUGAUGGGUGACAGUCAUAAGGGCAGAGGCCCACAAAAGGAUGAGUGCCCGCGUACAAAGGUGAAGGGACCAGAGUUCACUCCCUGCCUCACAGGAAGGCAGCCAUCUGUGACCCAGGUGCAGUGCCCUUACCAGCCCAGCCACACAGCUGCUCCCUAAUCUUGGCCUCUUGGCAUCCAGAACUGUGAGAAAUAAAUGCCGCCAUGUAA